This 303-nucleotide ribosomal RNA is filed under the name uncultured bacterium. Its description in RNAcentral is "bacterial SSU rRNA". It matches the Rfam family "Bacterial small subunit ribosomal RNA", at positions 355 to 675 of the family's 1533-position model. The record is from RNAcentral.
UGGGGAAUAUUGCACAAUGGGGGAAACCCUGAUGCAGCGACGCCGCGUGAGUGAAGAAGUAUCUCGGUACGUAAAGCUCUAUCAGCAGGGAAGAAAAUGACGGUACCUGACUAAGAAGCCCCGGCUAACUACGUGCCAGCAGCCGCGGUAAUACGUAGGGGGCAAGCGUUAUCCGGAUUUACUGGGUGUAAAGGGAGCGUAGACGGCAGCGCAAGUCUGGAGUGAAAUGCCGGGGCCCAACCCCGGAACUGCUUUGGAAACUGUGCAGCUCGAGUGCAGGAGAGGUAAGCGGAAUUCCUAGUG